This 537-nucleotide long non-coding RNA is filed under the name Triticum aestivum (bread wheat). RNAcentral's name for it is "long non-coding RNA (TAES_LNC016329)". Lineage: Eukaryota; Viridiplantae; Streptophyta; Magnoliopsida; Poales; Poaceae. The record is from RNAcentral.
UCCGAUGUGCAACCGACCGGUUUCUAUCUCCUCGCACACAAGGUGUUUGGCAAAAUUGCCACAAGGUAAAUUUUUAGUUAAACUUGUCCAUUUUUGGUACAUCAUGACUACUUGCGUGAUCAUGCACAACAUGAUCAUUAUGAAUGAGCGUGGACAUACACCUUCUAUGACCUAAUGGGAAUGUUUGUUCUGCCGAGUAGAAGGGGAGACCGAAUUAGACGCUUCAUGCAGGUGUACCCAAACAUCAGAGAGUCCGAUACGCACGAUGAUCUUCAAAAAAAUAUUCUGAAGGGAUGGUGGACAUGGCAUACGGAGCAAGCCUCCUAGUUUCAUCUCCAUGUUUGUCGUAUUGUGCAUGAACUAUGAUGUAUUGUUUGCUGAACCUUGUUGUAUUUGUGUUGCAUUUCAUGUUGUGGAUUUCAUGAAUUAUGUUGUAGUUUGAUGUCGUGGAUUGAUGAAUUUAUUGUUAUGUUUGUUUAAGUAUUAAUUUGAGAUGAUUUUGCUUAAAAUAUGUUUGAAAUUGAUGUGUUGUUGUUG